AUUGAACGCUGGCGGCAGGCCUAACACAUGCAAGUCGAGCGGAGUGGCGGACGGGUGAGUAUUGUCUGGGAAACUGCCUGAUGGAGGGGGAUAACGUCCGGAAACGGGCGCUAAUACCGCAUAAUAUCAGAUGAGCCUAGGUCGGAUUAGCUAGUGGGUGGGGUAAAGGCCUCCCAAGGCGACGAUCCGUAACUGGUCUGAGAGGAUGAUCAGUCACCCUGGAACUGAGACACGGUCCAGACUCCUACGGUAGGCAGCAGUGGGGAAUAUUGGACAAUGGGCGAAAGCCUGAUCCAGCCAUGCCGCGUGUGUGAAGAAGGUCUUCGGAUUGUAAAGCACUUUAAGUUGGGAGGCGUUACCAACAGAAUAAGCACCGGCUAACUUCGUGCCAGCAGCCGCGGUAAUAC
Molecule: ribosomal RNA, 407 nt
Filed under: uncultured bacterium
Lineage: Bacteria
Description: partial 16S ribosomal RNA
Rfam family: Bacterial small subunit ribosomal RNA
Source: RNAcentral